RNAcentral lists this non-coding RNA (25 nucleotides) under Rattus norvegicus (Norway rat). The record is from RNAcentral. Lineage: Eukaryota; Metazoa; Chordata; Mammalia; Rodentia; Muridae.
UCUCUGUCUUAAGGUUAUGUGGUUA